This is a long non-coding RNA of Macaca fascicularis (crab-eating macaque), 1844 nucleotides long. The record is from Ensembl. NCBI's taxonomy places the organism in Eukaryota, Metazoa, Chordata, Mammalia, Primates, Cercopithecidae.
UUUUUUUUUCUUUUUUAACUUAGAGAAAACAAGAAGACGUGACAACACCAGAAACAAGAACAUGUCUCCGGCCAGCCUGUGCUGACCAGUACACAGUGAAUCACGCACAGAAAAGUAUGUCAUUCCGGUCGGUGUCUAGAAGCUCCACCGCCUGGCAAACAGACUGCAAAUAAAUAAAGUGCAUGGAGACCCCAUCACGCAGCAAGGGCCCCGUCGGGGAGAGAAGAGGUGGGGAGGGGAGGUGGAGAAGCAGCAGGCGGGGCUACCACUUCAAGCAGCAGGCGUGAAAAGGCAGGGACAGGAGCAGAUGCUGAGGGGCUCAGCCCUGCUCCUCCCCAGCCAGCCCCUCUAGGCCAAUACAGCCACGGCAGAAGCCACGGGGCGGCGGGGUGGGGAGGACAUGGAUUUCCAUGCCCCUCUUAUGGGGUGGGGCUCCCUGCAGUCGGGGGUCUCUGAGGGUAGGGACCCCUGCAGCUCUGAUGCACAUUUCUCCCAGUAGGGAAGCAGGUUCCAGGGUCCCAGGCCGAGCCCCUUGCAUGGGGAGGGCUCAGUCACCCCCCACACUCCCACGCAUGCAAUCAGCAAAGAGCUUUCCUCCGUCCUUCCUGGCUGGCCCAGGAAGAGGGUGGAGCUGGGGAUCCAGUCACCCAGAGGGUGACACCAGGGCUUGAAAGGGCCACAUCUGUGCAUCAGACACAAGGAGGCCCCUCACUCCUCUUCUCCUCCAACCCUGUGUCACUCUUGUCCUAUAGAGGCUGCCCCCAGAGAUCUGUUGGGAGGACCAGCAGGCUGACGGGUCCCCAGAGGUGGUCCAGGGUGGACAGGGUUGCGGGGGAUGAAAGGCCAGCAGGGUCAGGGGUUCUCAGGAAACUUAGGACUAGGAGGCACGCCAUCGGGCCCUGGCUGUGGGAGACUGCAGGGGGCACGAGGCAGCCACUGUCCAGCCUCUUCUGGGGUGAGGCAGGCAGCCGGCUUCAUUCAGGACCUGGGUCCAGUGGGCAGCUGAGGAGGGUACAUGGUAGGUGGCUGGGCCACUCUGUCCCUGAAGCUGGCCAGACUGCUGCAGUUUUCAGUCCCAGGAACUGAGAACGUGGCCCUCCGGGUACCAGUGCAAGAGAUGGGGAAAUGGGGAAAGAGGGUGAGGGCGAGGGUCUCUUCCUGGCUCCCCUCUGGGCUGCUCCUGACCAUUGUACACUGGCUAGCAGCACACCCGGGGGCCCCCAGGACCAAUCCAAGCCGUGAGAUGAGAUUCUCCUGUGUGAUCCUGGGGAUGGGGGGUCGAACUUGAGGAGAGAGAAUUGGGGUCAUGCCAUGGGUCUCAGCCCCAGCACACCCCAAGUUUAUCCUUUCACCCUCCUGGUUAUGUCGUGUCUCCAGGAGCCACAACACCAAGAUCACCCCCAGUUGCCCACCAAACUGGGAGGCUUGUGCCACUGCACUUCUAAGGAGCCUUGGUGAAGCUCCAGGUGGGGUGGGGAGGUUAGGCUGUGGGGGAGAGCUUGGCUCCCCAAGGGUCCUGGGGCCCAUCUCUUCUGUCUCCCAUCUCAGCUGUCUGUCCUCCUGAUCUUCCCUGUGACCUUCCGUACUGCUCCAAAGAAAGUGAGAUCCCCAGAUUCCAUACCCCUAGGCCCCUUUCUCCCUUGGUGCCCCAGGAGCCCUAUGCUUCCCUCUCCACUUCCCCUUCCCUCCUCCCACCAUGCCAGGUCUUGGAGAAGACUGGGGAGGGGUGUGGGGGCCUGCAGGCCCAGGGGCACACGCAGUUCCUCCUCCUCCUAUCUGCGUGUCAAGGGCAACCCCCCACCUCCCCGAAGCCUCAGUUUCCUCUGUCAUUAGAAGGGGGAAAU